RNAcentral lists this ribosomal RNA (522 nucleotides) under Sastragala esakii. RNAcentral describes it as "partial 16S rRNA". The stretch from base 396 to 522 matches the Rfam family "Bacterial large subunit ribosomal RNA", at positions 2473 to 2600 of the family's 2925-position model. Lineage: Eukaryota; Metazoa; Arthropoda; Insecta; Hemiptera; Acanthosomatidae. The record is from RNAcentral.
GGCUUAUUGUUUUAUUUUAUAUUAAGUCUUACCUGCUCAAUGAUAUUAGUAAUAUUAAAUAGCCGCAGUAUAUUGACUGUGCAAAGGUAGCAUAAUCAUUUGUCUUUUAAUUGAGGACUUGUAUGAAUGGUUUAAUGAAAUAUUAACUUUCUUUAUAUAAAAUUUAUAAAAUUAAUUUUUUAGUUAAAAAGCUAAAAUGAUUUUAAGGGACGAGAAGACCCUAUAGAAUUUUAUACUUUAUAUUAUAUAAUGUGUUUGGUUAUUUUUUGGUUAUAUUUUUUAAAGUAUUUUGUUGGGGUGACAGGGAAAUUUAUUUAACUUUCUUUAUUUAUAUUUUAUUGAAUAGUAUAUUUAUGAUCCUAUUUUAUGGAUUUAAAAGAUUAAAUUACCUUAGGGAUAACAGCGUAAUUUCCUUGGAGAGUUCUUAUCGAUAAGGGAGUUUGCGACCUCGAUGUUGGAUUAAAAUAAGUAUUAGGUGUAGAAGCUUAUUUACUAGGUCUGUUCGACCUUUAAUAUUUUACA